Molecule: long non-coding RNA, 512 nt
Filed under: Salvia miltiorrhiza (redroot sage)
Lineage: Eukaryota; Viridiplantae; Streptophyta; Magnoliopsida; Lamiales; Lamiaceae
Description: long non-coding RNA (SMIL_LNC008332)
Source: RNAcentral
AGCUAGGCCCACUCGACACCUUUGGACAAAGAUUUAAGGGUUAUUAUUGUUUAAAUGCAUCAAUUUUGAAUUUUAACAUGGAUUUUUUGGUUUUUUAUUUUUUAUUUAAAUAUGCGAAUUUUAAUACACUUAAUUUUUACAACGAUCUACAUCCUGUAAAUAGAGUUGUCAACUGGGCUAGGGCCAGCCCGGCCCGGCCCAGGCCCGGUUGAGCCCGAGAUUAGGCUGCAGCCGCCUCACAUUGAAAUGGCCGGCUGGGGUUACGUCCAAGCCUAGCGGGUCCUAAGCUAGGCCCACUCGACACCUUUGGACAAAGAUUUAAGGGUUAUUAUUGUUUAAAUACAUCAAUUUUUCGACACCUUUGGACAGAGAUUUAAGGGUUAUAAGAAUAAUUUAAUUCAUGGUUUAUAUGUUAAACACUAAUUUUACAACGAUCACUACCUGUAAAUUGAAUAUGCGAUGACAUAUUUGAAAGAUGAUUACGACUCAUAUGUCCUCAAUGAAUUCUAAUC